UAGAGUUAGUGAUGUGUGUUAGCGGUGUGUAGAGUUAGUGAUGUGUGUUAGUGGUGUGUAGAGUUAGUGAUGUGUGUUAGCGGUGUGUAGAGUUAGUAGUGUGAUGUGUGUUAGCGGUUAGCGGUGUGUAGAGUUAGUGAUGUGUGUUAGCGGUGUGUAGAGUUAGUGAUGUGUGUUAGCGGUGUGUUAGCAGUUAGUGGUGUGUAGAGUUAGUGAUGUCUGUUAGUGGUGUGUAGAGUUAGUGAUGUGUGUUAGCGGUGUGUAGAGUUAGUGAUGUGUGUUAGUUGUAGAGUUAGUGAUGUGUGUUAGCGGUGUGUAGAGUUAGUGAUGUGUGUUAGUGGUGUGUAGAGUUAGUGAUGUGUGUUA
This is a long non-coding RNA of Ictalurus punctatus (channel catfish), 366 nucleotides long. Lineage: Eukaryota; Metazoa; Chordata; Actinopteri; Siluriformes; Ictaluridae. The record is from Ensembl.